GGGACUGAAGAGCCCCGCAGGAGCGGUGACUAACGGAGGCAGAAGCAGAGGGGGAGGGUUUGGGGCUCUGUCGUCACCGGGAGCUGCAGCAGCAGCAGCAGCAGCAUCAUCAGCAUCACUGAAGUGAGUAAAGGCAACAACAGUGCGCAACUUGGAGAAAUAACUCCACAGCAGCGCGCAUGUGUCCGUCUGCCGAGGCGCGUCCAGGCGGUCAGACCCACGCGUGGUUGCGGGAGUAAAUGAACCAGAAGCUCCGCUCGCUGUGGCCGUGCAACCAGGAAAGUCAUGGAUUUUAGGAGGAAGCAUCUCCCCAUCGUGAUUUUCUUAAUAAGCAACGCCUGGCAGACGUUUUCUUACACCUUU
Molecule: long non-coding RNA, 363 nt
Organism: Xiphophorus hellerii (green swordtail)
Lineage: Eukaryota; Metazoa; Chordata; Actinopteri; Cyprinodontiformes; Poeciliidae
Exons: 2
Source: RefSeq, a predicted model, not a curated record